GGAGGAACCGGAUAAAAUCGUAGUAGAAACUUUAUAAUUUUGCUAGAGAGCGAUGAAGAAUGACUAAAACUUUAGUGGGAAACUUUCCAUCAAAGCCUUCUUGGGAGCUAGGUGUUUUUUAAUGCUAAAAUUCAAAAACAAAAUUUAAUUGCUAGAGAAAAGGAUUAAACUUUUGAAUAGAGAUAAAAUGACACGUUAUGACUAAUUAGAGCUCUUUAAUGAGACAUCAUUGAGAAGCUCCCCACUUUAGUCACUUUAGCCU
This 262-nucleotide long non-coding RNA is filed under the name Ananas comosus (pineapple). RNAcentral describes it as "long non-coding RNA (ACOM_LNC000729)". The record is from RNAcentral. Lineage: Eukaryota; Viridiplantae; Streptophyta; Magnoliopsida; Poales; Bromeliaceae.